UACGAAGGGGGCUAGCGUUACUCGGAUUGACUGGGCGUAAAGGGCGCGUAGGCGGUUCGUACAGUCAGACGUGAAAUUCCUGGGCUCAACCUGGGGGCUGCGUUUGAUACGUGCGGGCUUGAGUUCGGAAGAGGGUCGUGGAAUUCCCAGUGUAGAGGUGAAAUUCGUAGAUAUCUGGAGGAACACCGGUGGCGAAGGCGGCAUCCUGGACCGGCAUUGACGCUGAGGCGCGAAAGCCAGGGGAGCAAACGGG
Molecule: ribosomal RNA, 253 nt
Filed under: uncultured bacterium
Lineage: Bacteria
Description: partial 16S ribosomal RNA
Rfam family: Bacterial small subunit ribosomal RNA
Source: RNAcentral